CGGGUGCACUGAUCCGGCCGGGCCUUUCCCUCUGUGGAACCCCAUGGCCUUCACUGGCUGUGCGGGGGAAACAGGACUUUUACUGUGAAAAAAUUAGAGUGCUCCAGGCAGGCCUAUGCUCGAAUACAUUAGCAUGGAAUAAUAGAAUAGGACGCGUGGUUCUAUUUUGUUGGUUUCUAGGACCGCCGUAAUGAUUAAUAGGGACAGUCGGGGGCAUCAGUAUUCAAUUGUCAGAGGUGAAAUUCUUGGAUCUAUUGAAGACUAAUUACUGCGAAAGCAUUUGCCAAGGAUGUUUUCAUUGAUAAGGAACGAAAGUUAGGGGAUCGAAGACGAUCAGAUACCGUCGUAGUCUUAACUAUAAACUAUGCCGACUAGGGAUCGGACGAUGUUAUUUCUUGACGCGUUCGGCACCUUUCGAGAAAUCAAAGUGCUUGGGCUCCAGGGGGAGUAUGGUCGCAAGGCUGAAACUUAAAGAAAUUGACGGAAGGGCACCACCAGGGGUGGAACCUGCGGCUUAAUUUGACUCAACACGGGGAAACUCACCAGGUCCAGACACAGUGAGGAUUGACAGAUUGAGAGCUCUUUCUUGAUUCUGUGGGUGGUGGUGCAUGGCCGUUCUUAGUUGGUGGAGUGAUUUGUCUGCUUAAUUGCGAUAACGAACGAGACCUUAACCUGCUAAAUAGCCCGUACUGCUCUGGCAGUUCGCCGGCUUCUUAGAGGGACUAUCGG
This 729-nucleotide ribosomal RNA is filed under the name uncultured eukaryote. RNAcentral describes it as "SSU rRNA". It matches the Rfam family "Eukaryotic small subunit ribosomal RNA", at positions 670 to 1426 of the family's 1831-position model. The record is from RNAcentral.